Molecule: long non-coding RNA, 1403 nt
Filed under: Sorghum bicolor (sorghum)
Lineage: Eukaryota; Viridiplantae; Streptophyta; Magnoliopsida; Poales; Poaceae
Description: long non-coding RNA (SBIC_LNC007898)
Source: RNAcentral
UUUAGAGUAAUCAUUGCUAGCGUAAACAUGAUGUUUGGGCUAGGGUACUCAUAGAUAUCCCCUGCCUAGCCGGACCGUGGUAGUAGCGAGGAACGUGACAUUUCCGUAGCUACCUUUGUAGCCCACAAUCCCGUUAGCAGGAUCGGUAGGGUUUAUAGGUGUGGGUCGAACAUCCUUUGUGGUGUCUAGAUUCCGUAAGCCUCCCCAAUAGAAUAGUAGAUCAUUCUUACCAAGGUUAGAUCGAGAGUGCGGUUGUAGUCUUCUCUAUACAUUGCUCACAUCAAAUCACAUUGUUUGUAGCCUAAAGGGUAGUAGUAAUAGAUUUGGUUAGUCAGAUGCACGCUUUCUCCCAGUGGUAAAAAUAUAAAUACGAUACUCUGGAUAACCUCCCGGGUGAAGUGCUCACCGAUAUCCGUGCGCUUGCAGAUCAUUUCCUAAUGGCGUUAACAAAUAUCAACAAGCAUUUCUAGCGCCGUUGCCGGGGAGAAAGACGGUUUGCUGAGAUAACUUUGAGUCUUGCUAUUAUCUUGUAUUAUACUUUUAUACUUUUAUUCUUUUAUCUUUUUAUUUUUUUCAUCUUUAUGGAUAACUCAAAUUCCACACCUAUUAUUGAAUUUUUUGCACCUUCGGAGACCAGCCAUAGACCAAGGGAGUCAACAAGUCCUUUCUUUGCCCCUAAGUAUGAUUUGUGUCCGGAGUUGAUUGGAAUAGGUCAAAACCAACCCUUUUCUAUAGACAAGGUCCUAUCUUUUAAUCAAGAAGAUAAUGAACUUUUAGCUACACCUAGGGAAUCUUUUAAUCUUUCUAUAAAUUUUGCUUUAGACCUAGCCCUACAAGACCAUGUUUUCCUCGAUAUUUUCACAUUGGUCUUAAUCAUAUAACCUUUGGUAGAGUUUUUCUUUCUUUAUCUGUUAGUAAAGCAAGGUAUGUCUUCAUUCGUGGACAUCCUUCUUGCACUAGUGUUCAUAAAAAAUUCCUAGAGAUAGAGAAGGAAUCAUCUCCCAAACGAGGAAAAGAAGUUUCAAUAGCCGAUUUCCAAACAUUUCAAUCCCAUGAUUCGGCUAUCCAACCCAAACUAGUAGUGCUCCAAAAUCAUCUAAGGGAAGAAGAAAUUCUACCUUUGGAAAUUCAUUUUGGGAUGAGCUUAAACUUCUUGCUUCAUAAGAGACCUUUGAGUGCAUAUAGUCUGAACCUUCCUAAGAAGGGAUCUCUUAGAAAGCAUCUCAAAUCCAAUCCCUUUGAUGGACAUCUAGAAAGACUCAAGGAUGGCAUCUUAAGUGAUGCAAUAGAAGGAGAGCGAAGCCAUUUAGAAGACAAUCUCAUCUUCUCCCCUUCUACACCCACUUUUGAUGACUCAUUCAAGCCUAUCUUUAAACCCAUCCUUGAGCCUAAUAAUUUCUACU